UUAAACUGGUUUAUUAUGCAGCUUUUUCUGGUUUGUUUGUUUAUUUGUUUUGCUAGUUAUAAAAGAGCAAACUGGUUAUUGUCAGAGUCAGUUUUAGUGCAGGAGGUUUUUGUACAGCCGCUCAUUGGGUUUGUAUCACUGUGGUGGACGUUUGGUGGAGGAACACGACUCUCAGUUGGAACUGGCACUCGCCCCACUCUCACGGUCCUGCCUCCCUCCAGAGGCGAGCUGCAGCAGGGUAAGGCUACAGUGCUGUGUUUGGCCAGUAAGGGAUUCCCGUCUGACUGGAAGCUGAGCUGGAGGGUGGAUGGCGGUAGCAGGAGCUCUGCUGUGAAUCUGAGUCCCAGUGUUCUGCAGAAGGAUGGACUGUACAGCUGGAGCAGCAGCCUGAGUCUCACUGAGAGUGAGUGGAGCAGAGCAACAAUCAUCAGCUGUGAAGCCACACACACAUCCCAGAAUGCAGUGACCGGGAGCCUGAACACACAGCGGUGUGAUGAUGACCAGUGAAACACACAUCACAAAGGCAUGCAUAAUCAUUCAUGCACGUACAGUGUACCAUUUUGCUCUGUAUGUGUUCAUCUUUCUUUAAUCUUUCUUUCUUGAACAUGUAUGAUAACCUCUCAAUAAAAUAAUUUUUUGGUCAAAUAAAAGCUUAUUCAAUCAUUAA
Non-coding RNA from Pimephales promelas (fathead minnow), 667 nucleotides. NCBI's taxonomy places the organism in Eukaryota, Metazoa, Chordata, Actinopteri, Cypriniformes, Leuciscidae. The record is from the annotation of a RefSeq genome assembly.